GUCAGUAACGUGUGCAAUAAUUAUAACAGAAAGAAUAACGAACUUGAAAUAAUAUUAUCACAGCAAUGAAGGGACGAACCUUCACGGUUCUAUGAUAAACAAUACGAUCUGUUGCAGUGCUUUCCACAUCAGAAGAACGCCUCAAAGUGUUUCACAGGGUGGAUAGAAGAAAGCACAAAGACAAGGAGAAUUACAUCAAUACUCUCGUCUGGAAAUGGGUAUCGAGAUUCAGGGGCGCAUUGCAGGUCUGCACCCAGAGUUCUGCAUGAAUCAGCCAUCUUAGCUGCGGUUGGAAGGUGCUGAUGAGAAGCUCGGAAGGGGAAAAUUGAGAGAGUCACCAGGGACUGCCUUGUUACACCUCAUAGUGGCUGGCCUUUGAGCGACAUAAGAGAAAAGCUGGAAGUAGGAUUUGUGCCUGUUCUACCAGCUAGGAUCCUUUCUUUCCCAGGUUGAAAAAUAACCUUAAAAAGUAUAAAUAAAACAUUCUGAAAUACCAGAUUGGGAGCAUGUUUUAUUCAUGGAUCAAUUGUUCAGGUACAGAGAAGCGAUCUGAUUGAGGAGAAACAGUAGCUCAGGGG
Callorhinchus milii (elephant shark) is the source of this 578-nucleotide long non-coding RNA. RefSeq lists it as uncharacterized. The record is from RefSeq and is a predicted model, not a curated record. NCBI's taxonomy places the organism in Eukaryota, Metazoa, Chordata, Chondrichthyes, Chimaeriformes, Callorhinchidae. The transcript has 3 exons.